GGAUAGCUCAGCGGCAGAGCGCCUCGUUUACACCGAGGAGGUCGCAGGUCCAAAUCCUGCACUGUCCACCA
This 71-nucleotide transfer RNA is filed under the name Candidatus Nealsonbacteria bacterium CG07_land_8_20_14_0_80_40_10. Its description in RNAcentral is "tRNA-Val". It matches the Rfam family "tRNA". From Rfam's summary of the family: Transfer RNA (tRNA) molecules are approximately 80 nucleotides in length. The record is from RNAcentral. Lineage: Bacteria; Candidatus Nealsoniibacteriota.